This is a long non-coding RNA of Oncorhynchus nerka (sockeye salmon), 1318 nucleotides long. RefSeq lists it as uncharacterized. The record is from RefSeq and is a predicted model, not a curated record. NCBI's taxonomy places the organism in Eukaryota, Metazoa, Chordata, Actinopteri, Salmoniformes, Salmonidae. The transcript has 6 exons.
GGCCUGUUGCACAAAAGUAGAAUUAAGACAUCCGGGAUAAAUGACUCAGCUGAGCUCAAUGAAGCCAAAACAUGUGCGUCCAGGCUUAAUUGGUUGCACAAAGACCAAGCCAGGAUGAGCAGACACGGAUUCAUUAAGCCAGGUGAAACCAAUCCUGGAUAGGUGCGCGCUCACGGCUCACUCAAAUAGACCCUGCCACAGAUCACAGAUUAACUGAUUUACCAUGGCAACUAGAGCCGCGUACUUUUCCCCGUCGGAAGCACAAAUCCUCAUGGAGGCAUACGAGGAGGUAAAAUAUAUAAUUAAGAAGAAAGGCAACACCGCCACAGUGAUAAAGCAAAGAGAAAAAGCGUGGCAAAGUAUUGCAGACCGCCUGAAUGCAUUAAACAUGAACGGGCCAAAACGGACAUGGCAGCAGGUCAAAAUCAAAUACAAGAACAUUCUGCAGAAUGCAGUGAAAAAGAAUACCCACAGACAAGGCACGGGUGGUGGGUCACCAAAGGCUGACCUUACCCCAGCAGAGGACAUGGCCUUGGAGCUAAAUAAAGGCAGGCCCGUCUUAGAGGGGAUCCCUGGGGGAAAGAGACGAGCAUAGGUUCCUCCCAAGAUGCCACCCGCUUCAUUCAAGUGCCUGGCAGCACUGUGUUCCUGUUAGAGCCACCAGCACAAGCACCAGACGAUGCUGAUCCAGGUGAAGGCCCCAGUGCAGCAGCAACAGCACAUGAUGGAGACGAUGAUGAGGAGGAGACCAUCUCUCUGGAUUCCAGAAGGCAUGAGGACCCAGAUGCUAUACAGUGGGAAAACCAGCCUGGCAACAUUGCGUAUUAAUAAAAGGACACCACAUCCUGCCAAAUUCCAGCUGCGCUAAUUGUAUUGUGUUCACAGAGCUCACAAGCGAUCAGAAAGUUGUAUGGCAACCACCUCCGGCGCCAAAUAGAACUGGCAGACAUAGACAUUCAGUACAAGAAGAAAAAGAUGGAAAAUCUUGUACUGAGUCCGAAAUAAAAAAGAGGACAAUUAGGAAACUGGACCUUGAAAUAAAAAAACUUGAGAGGGAGGUGAGAUAUGCCUUCAAUGUACACUGUAUGCUAACUGUAACACAAAUGUAUUAAUCAUUAUUUUUCUUUCCUCCCCCAGCUCCAAGAAGAUGACACAGCUCAAAAUAAAAAUUAGGUAUAUUCUCGUAAAGUCAAGUGAGCCAUGACAUAUGAGCUCUUAUUGUGAGCACACAGGACGGUGGCAUCUUUCUAAGGUUUUUUUUAUUUUCCCAGCAAUCAGUACAACCAAGUCAUCGUUAUAAGGCAUCGCCCUCUUUGCC